UGAACAAAAUUUUUGUUUUAUAGAGGUUUUCGAGUUGUAGAGGUUCGAGUUAUUGAGGUUCGACUGUAUAAGGACAAGGAUAUGCUCGUCUGGUAUUUUCGAGCGUAUGCUGAUACCGAGUGGCCAAUCAAAAUUGUUAAAAAGCUUACGUCAUUGUUACCAUGUCCUUAUACCAUGGGCGCAUCGUAAACACGGCUCAGCCAUCCGUUGCAAGUUGCUAUAGAUUUUUUCCUUUAAUAGCUUAAUUGCGGUAGAAGAUUCUGAAAGGUGAGCACGAUUACGAAGCUGUCAAGAUUGUAACGGAUUAGACUGGCACUGAAUUGGUCACUCAGCUAAUUGUCCUGCAAUUCUGGCUGCAGGUCUUAUCGCUGUGACAAGCGCAUUGUAAACACGGUAUACUAUUGCUCGGCCAUCCGUUGCAAUUUGCUAAAUCUUCCUUUCAAGAAUCCUUUCUACAUUUGCACAUUCAGACACGUCAAAUACUAAAUGGCUUAUGGAAUAUUGACAUUCUCUUUUGACUAACUCUCUUACUGACAAGGAUAACCUUCCAAAAUCAAACGGAUAAGAAUUUCAUGUGCGAAUCUGUAUAUCAGAGCAUUUUUUGUACAUAUAAUCGCCGUAAACAAAAUACGUGCAAGUUGCAUCGAAUAAUCAUAAAAUUGGUUAUUUACGUACGAAUUGAAGAAAAUGCGAACUUGUUGUGUCUCCGGAUGUUCUUCGGGUAAACACGCUCCACGUCAUACUUUUCCAAAGAAUGCCGAACGCCGAAAAAAAUGGUUUCAAGCUUUGCAUAUGGAACCAUUGGAGGACGAAAAUGAAAUAAAAAAGUUGAGAGUAUGCUAUAGGCAUUUUCGUGAGGAGGAUUAUAGUGGUUCUCUUAAAAAUAGAGUAUUACUACACUUUGCAUUUCCAUCUGUAAAUGUGCCGCAACAUGUGGCGGAAUUAGUUGAUAAUGUCAAUUGCAAUAGCCGUACAGAACAACGUGAAGAACAAUAUGAGGAACAACAUGAGGAACAAUAUGAAGAACAACAUGAGGAACAAGAGACGUUGCAUGAACACAGUGGCAAUGCUGCACAGCAACGCUACACAGUGCUACAAAAUAAUGAAAAUAUAUUGACCCAACAUGAAUUACAAUUACAAUUGCAACAAAUGCAAGAAAUAAUAACACAACAACAACAAAGAAUCGAAAAUAUUGAGAAAGCAUUGGAAAUGCAAAGUAAACCACGAAAUGUAAGACUUCAUCUUGAAGAUAUUAAACGAAAAAUUUCAUUAAGUCUUAAAGCUAAGAAACUAUACGAUCAAAUUGUUAGAAUAAAAAGAGCUAAAAGAAAGCAAAAGAGACUGGAAAAGAUAGCCAGACAACAAAACAAAUCACAAACAAUUCCAUUACAUACAACAGAUUAUAAGAAGAAUGUUGAUGCAACUGCGCAUAUACGAUAGAAUUUUAUAAACAUGCUCGUAAGGAACAAUGGUAUUAGCGCCACAGUUGAAAGCUGAAAAUAAAACCAGAGACCGAGUCAAGGAGGAUAUUCGUAUUUUGCUUGCUGAAAUUGAAGCUUUCUGAGAAGAAUGAUUUUCUACCUAGCAAACUUUCUGGUGGUCAACAAAGAAGACUGUGCCUCGAAAUGGCUCUUAUUGGCGAUGCUAGUGAUCGUGAAGAAAGAAAAUAAUGGGAAACAUCUUAAUGAAUUAUUUACAGCACCAUUACAGAAAAUUACAGGCAAUGAGCUAUACAAGCAAUCAAUGUUGGCAUUAUUGGGCAAGAAAAUUACAUAUACAAGAAAGAAUCUAUCUUACUGAUAAUUAUACGUAUGUCUCCUGAAAUGCUUUUACUAAAACAAAGAUCAAAUUUUGCGUUAUAUCUUAUAUUGGUAUUUUUUUUUGUAACACAACUUCAAAAUUUAAAAGUUUCUUCUAUU
Molecule: RNA transcript, 1919 nt
Organism: Wasmannia auropunctata (little fire ant)
Lineage: Eukaryota; Metazoa; Arthropoda; Insecta; Hymenoptera; Formicidae
Gene name: putative mediator of RNA polymerase II transcription subunit 26
Exons: 5
Source: RefSeq, a predicted model, not a curated record